Molecule: ribosomal RNA, 459 nt
Filed under: uncultured bacterium
Lineage: Bacteria
Description: partial 16S ribosomal RNA
Rfam family: Bacterial small subunit ribosomal RNA
Source: RNAcentral
CCUACGGGAGGCAGCAGUGAGGAAUAUUGGUCAAUGGGCGGGAGCCUGAACCAGCCAAGUCGCGUGAGGGACGACGGCCCUAUGGAUUGUAAACCUCUUUUGUCGGGGAACAAAGGCGCCCACGGGUGGGCGGAUGAGUGUAACCGAAGAAAAAGCAUCGGCUAACUCCGUGCCAGCCGCCGCAGUAAUACGGUGGAUGAGAGUGUUAGCCGGAUUUUUGGGGUUUAAGGGGUGGGUAGGGGGAAAGUAAAGUCAUCGGUAAAAAUGCGGUGCUAAACGCCGUACCGCCGUUGAAACUGGCAGUCUUGAGUGGGCGAGAAGUAUGCGGAAUGCGUGGUGUAGCGGUGAAAUGCAUAGAUAUCACGCAGAACUCCGAUUGCGAAGGCAGCAUACCGGCGCCCUACUGACGCUGAGGCACGAAAGCGUGGGUAUCGAACAGGAUUAGAUACCCUUGUAGUC